Molecule: ribosomal RNA, 254 nt
Filed under: uncultured bacterium
Lineage: Bacteria
Description: partial 16S ribosomal RNA
Rfam family: Bacterial small subunit ribosomal RNA
Source: RNAcentral
UACGUAGGGGGCGAGCGUUGUCCGGAUUUAUUGGGCGUAAAACGCUUGUAGGCGGCCACGCCAAGUCGGAUGUGAAAUCUCCCGGCUUAACUGGGAGGGGUCAUCCGAUACUGGCGGGCUCGAGGCAGGUAGGGGGAAGCGGAAUUCCCGGUGUAGUGGUGGAAUGCGUAGAUAUCGGGAGGAACACCAGUGGCGAAGGCGGCUUCCUGGACCUGUUCUGACGCUGAGGAACGAAAGCGUGGGGAGCGAUCCGG